UCCAUCACCUUUGAUCUCACUACUUCCAUCACAAAGGGCAAUAGAUGUGACUGGUCUUCAAGCCACUGGAAAUCUCAUCUCGAUGGGGAGCUAAGCCACUGAGCUCCAGCACAAAGAGGAAAAAAAAGUUUGCUUCAUCCUUUGUCCAUCACCAGUUGUUGCCAGACAUGAGAAGAAGAGAUGACAAAGAUGUGUUUUUAAAUAAUUUUUCUUUAAAAACAUUCUCUUUAAAAUCAAGUUUUCAUUAAAUGAUUAACUAGCAA
Molecule: long non-coding RNA, 263 nt
Organism: Monodelphis domestica (gray short-tailed opossum)
Lineage: Eukaryota; Metazoa; Chordata; Mammalia; Didelphimorphia; Didelphidae
Source: RefSeq, a predicted model, not a curated record